UGAGGGAUUUCUAUGGCAACAACAACACAUCCCUGGCAACAACAGUCCUUCAACCAGUUGACCACACGGUGGCAGAAGACUCCAAGAAAUCGGUGUGAUCAAGGAUGGUUUGCCCUGACUUGCCUAUACGUCACCCUCCCUUCUCACCUUUUGAUGACUCCAGAUCGUAUCUGUGACAGUUGUGGUUUCUACUGUGGAGGACCAGCACAUUACGUCAAACCCUUUUUGAUGGCAAGUAAGUCCAUUCCGAGAGACAGAGCUAAAAGGGAAAGAUGAAGGGAUGGAAGGAUGGCUGGAUGGAUGGAAGGGGGGAAUCCUGCCCGUGUGUGAUGUUUCCACUUCGGCCCGGAUGAAAAGUUUCCCCGAGUCUUGGCGUCUUGGAGCCCCCUCCGAGCUAAAUAAACACUCCUAAUUGGCUGUGGA
Molecule: long non-coding RNA, 423 nt
Organism: Engraulis encrasicolus (European anchovy)
Lineage: Eukaryota; Metazoa; Chordata; Actinopteri; Clupeiformes; Engraulidae
Exons: 3
Source: RefSeq, a predicted model, not a curated record